GACGAACGCUGGCGGCGUGCUUAACACAUGCAAGUCGAGCGGUAAGGCCCUUCGGGGUACACGAGCGGCGAACGGGUGAGUAACACGUGGGUGACCUGCCUCUAGCUCUGGGAUAAGCCUGGGAAACUGGGUCUAAUACCGGAUAUGACUCCACGGCGCAUGUUGUGGGGUGGAAAGCCUUGUGUGGCUAGAGAUGGGCCCGCGGCCUAUCAGCUUGUUGGUGGGGUGANGGCCUACCAAGGCGACGACGGGUAGCCGGCCUGAGAGGGCGACCGGCCACACUGGGACUGAGACACGGCCCAGACUCCUACGGGAGGCAGCAGUGGGGAAUCUUGCGCAAUGGGCGAAAGCCUGACGCAGCGACGCCGCGUGAGGGAUGACGGCCU
This 386-nucleotide ribosomal RNA is filed under the name uncultured bacterium. Its description in RNAcentral is "bacterial SSU rRNA". It matches the Rfam family "Bacterial small subunit ribosomal RNA", at positions 28 to 417 of the family's 1533-position model. The record is from RNAcentral.